Molecule: ribosomal RNA, 492 nt
Filed under: uncultured bacterium
Lineage: Bacteria
Description: partial 16S ribosomal RNA
Rfam family: Bacterial small subunit ribosomal RNA
Source: RNAcentral
AGUGAACGCUGGCGGUAGGCCUAACACAUGCAGGUCGAACGGCAGCACAGUAAGAGCUUGCUCUUACGGGUGGCGAGUGGCGGACGGGUGAGGAAUACAUCGGAAUCUACUUUUUCGUGGGGGAUAACGUAGGGAAACUUACGCUAAUACCGCAUACGACCUACGGGUGAAAGCAGGGGAUCUUCGGACCUUGCGCGAUUGAAUGAGCCGAUGUCGGAUUAGCUAGUUGGCGGGGUAAAGGCCCACCAAGGCGACGAUCCGUAGCUGGUCUGAGAGGAUGAUCAGCCACACUGGAAAUGAGACACGGUCCAGACUCCUACGGGAGGCAGCAGUGGGGAAUAUUGGACAAUGGGCGCAAGCCUGAUCCAGCCAUACCGCGUGGGUGAAGAAGGCCUUCGGGUUGUAAAGCCCUUUUGUUGGGAAAGAAAAGCAGCAGGUUAAUACCCCGCUGUUCUGACGGUACCCAAAGAAUAAGCACCGGCUAACUUCGUG